AAACAGAGGCAAUUAAGAGUACCACCCGCCGGGGGUAAAGGUCAUAAUAAAAGGAUUUAAAAUAGCAAAUUUUUAAAUCUUCUUAUAAGACGUUUACUGCGAGUGCAGUUCAGACUUCUAUUUGAACUUACACAGCAGUUGAAAAUUCCCCACUCUAGAUAAAACCAUCAAAAAAUUAUUUUAUACUUGUAACAUCAAAUUGACAUGUGCAUAUCACCUAAUACCGACGUAUUAACAAAAUGAACCAAGAUUUUUUAUCACAAUUCGAUCAAGCGUUUUGUUUUAAUGACAAUAAUCAACUUAGAAAUGGACAAUUAUCACCACCAUACUCAAUAUCUUCAUCUUCCUCAUUCGAUGAACAUGUGCCUUGUGAGGUUAAGGAAAUUCCACAACCUGUAACAGCAGAAUUUGAGAUUAAUGAGAUAUUAAAAAACUGUACAACGAAAAAUCGUGCUGUAAAACAUCAACGCACAAUUUUAUCAAGAUAUGAAGGAACUAUUCUAGAGCAUGAAUUUGAUCAAAACGCAUUUAUAACCCCACAACGAAAGAAGGAAUUGUCCAAAUUGUUAUCAAUGAGUGAAUAUACAAUCAAAACGUGGUUUCAAAACCGACGCUUGAAACAAAAGAGACAAUUGAUUAAAAUGAAUCAAAAAAAUGUACUAAUGACGAUGUGUUCAAGUUUGAAUCAAGGGGCUGAUGGGCGUGAAGUUUACGUAGUAAAAUGUUAUAAACAUAUGAGUGGUGGCACAUGUACCGUAUUAAAAUAAUUAAUAGAUACUAAAAUGACCUAAAAAAUAUAAAUAAACUUUUAAAUGUU
This is a long non-coding RNA of Dalotia coriaria, 817 nucleotides long. RefSeq lists it as uncharacterized. NCBI's taxonomy places the organism in Eukaryota, Metazoa, Arthropoda, Insecta, Coleoptera, Staphylinidae. The record is from RefSeq and is a predicted model, not a curated record. The transcript is spliced from 2 exons.